GGGCUAUUGGCGCAGGCAGGUAGCGCAGCAGGCUCUUAACCUGACAUUUAUGAGAGCAUCUCUCGUAAAAAGGAGGGUCGGGGGUUCGAAUCCCUCAUAGCCCG
RNAcentral lists this transfer RNA (104 nucleotides) under Promethearchaeota archaeon. RNAcentral's name for it is "Candidatus Lokiarchaeota archaeon (marine sediment metagenome) tRNA-Lys". It matches the Rfam family "tRNA". From Rfam's summary of the family: Transfer RNA (tRNA) molecules are approximately 80 nucleotides in length. Lineage: Archaea; Promethearchaeati; Promethearchaeota. The record is from RNAcentral.